Molecule: long non-coding RNA, 295 nt
Organism: Apis dorsata (giant honeybee)
Lineage: Eukaryota; Metazoa; Arthropoda; Insecta; Hymenoptera; Apidae
Exons: 2
Source: RefSeq, a predicted model, not a curated record
AAAAAAUAUUAACAUUUAAAGAUAAAAAAUAAAAAAAUAAAUUUUUCCAUAAAAAAUUUUAAUUCAUAUGAUUUAUUUUUUUAUUUUUGAUGCAUAUCAAAAUAAUAAUUUUUUUUUUGUUAUAUGUAAUUCGUGAAAGCAUUAGAUGAGUUGAACAACACAUAACAUGAUUCAAAAUAAACCCUUCACUGACGAGCAAUGUACUUAUAUAUAGAAAGAAUUCGUAUGAUGUCAGAUGGCGCAAUUCCAAAUGAUCAAUUGAAUAAAUCUUGAGAUAAAAAUUAUUUUUAAAAAA